UUAAGCGACUAAGCGUACACGGUGGAUGCCCUGGCAGUCAGAGGCGAUGAAGGACGUGCUAAUCUGCGAUAAGCGUCGGUAAGGUGAUAUGAACCGUUAUAACCGGCGAUUUCCGAAUGGGGAAACCCAGUGUGUUUCGACACACUAUCAUUAACUGAAUCCAUAGGUUAAUGAGGCGAACCGGGGGAACUGAAACAUCUAAGUACCCCGAGGAAAAGAAAUCAACCGAGAUUCCCCCAGUAGCGGCGAGCGAACGGGGAGCAGCCCAGAGCCUGAAUCAGUGUGUGUGUUAGUGGAAGCGUCUGGAAAGGCGCGCGAUACAGGGUGACAGCCCCGUACACAAAAAUGCACAUGCUGUGAGCUCGAUGAGUAGGGCGGGACACGUGGUAUCCUGUCUGAAUAUGGGGGGACCAUCCUCCAAGGCUAAAUACUCCUGACUGACCGAUAGUGAACCAGUACCGUGAGGGAAAGGCGAAAAGAACCCCGGCGAGGGGAGUGAAAAAGAACCUGAAACCGUGUACGUACAAGCAGUGGGAGCACGCUUAGGCGUGUGACUGCGUACCUUUUGUAUAAUGGGUCAGCGACUUAUAUUCUGUAGCAAGGUUAACCGAAUAGGGGAGCCGAAGGGAAACCGAGUCUUAACUGGGCGUUAAGUUGCAGGGUAUAGACCCGAAACCCGGUGAUCUAGCCAUGGGCAGGUUGAAGGUUGGGUAACACUAACUGGAGGACCGAACCGACUAAUGUUGAAAAAUUAGCGGAUGACUUGUGGCUGGGGGUGAAAGGCCAAUCAAACCGGGAGAUAGCUGGUUCUCCCCGAAAGCUAUUUAGGUAGCGCCUCGUGAAUUCAUCUCCGGGGGUAGAGCACUGUUUCGGCAAGGGGGUCAUCCCGACUUACCAACCCGAUGCAAACUGCGAAUACCGGAGAAUGUUAUCACGGGAGACACACGGCGGGUGCUAACGUCCGUCGUGAAGAGGGAAACAACCCAGACCGCCAGCUAAGGUCCCAAAGUCAUGGUUAAGUGGGAAACGAUGUGGGAAGGCCCAGACAGCCAGGAUGUUGGCUUAGAAGCAGCCAUCAUUUAAAGAAAGCGUAAUAGCUCACUGGUCGAGUCGGCCUGCGCGGAAGAUGUAACGGGGCUAAACCAUGCACCGAAGCUGCGGCAGCGACACUAUGUGUUGUUGGGUAGGGGAGCGUUCUGUAAGCCUGUGAAGGUGUGCUGUGAGGCAUGCUGGAGGUAUCAGAAGUGCGAAUGCUGACAUAAGUAACGAUAAAGCGGGUGAAAAGCCCGCUCGCCGGAAGACCAAGGGUUCCUGUCCAACGUUAAUCGGGGCAGGGUGAGUCGACCCCUAAGGCGAGGCCGAAAGGCGUAGUCGAUGGGAAACAGGUUAAUAUUCCUGUACUUGGUGUUACUGCGAAGGGGGGACGGAGAAGGCUAUGUUGGCCGGGCGACGGUUGUCCCGGUUUAAGCGUGUAGGCUGGUUUUCCAGGCAAAUCCGGAAAAUCAAGGCUGAGGCGUGAUGACGAGGCACUACGGUGCUGAAGCAACAAAUGCCCUGCUUCCAGGAAAAGCCUCUAAGCAUCAGGUAACAUCAAAUCGUACCCCAAACCGACACAGGUGGUCAGGUAGAGAAUACCAAGGCGCUUGAGAGAACUCGGGUGAAGGAACUAGGCAAAAUGGUGCCGUAACUUCGGGAGAAGGCACGCUGAUAUGUAGGUGAAGCGACUUGCUCGUGGAGCUGAAAUCAGUCGAAGAUACCAGCUGGCUGCAACUGUUUAUUAAAAACACAGCACUGUGCAAACACGAAAGUGGACGUAUACGGUGUGACGCCUGCCCGGUGCCGGAAGGUUAAUUGAUGGGGUUAGCGCAAGCGAAGCUCUUGAUCGAAGCCCCGGUAAACGGCGGCCGUAACUAUAACGGUCCUAAGGUAGCGAAAUUCCUUGUCGGGUAAGUUCCGACCUGCACGAAUGGCGUAAUGAUGGCCAGGCUGUCUCCACCCGAGACUCAGUGAAAUUGAACUCGCUGUGAAGAUGCAGUGUACCCGCGGCAAGACGGAAAGACCCCGUGAACCUUUACUAUAGCUUGACACUGAACAUUGAGCCUUGAUGUGUAGGAUAGGUGGGAGGCUUUGAAGUGUGGACGCCAGUCUGCAUGGAGCCGACCUUGAAAUACCACCCUUUAAUGUUUGAUGUUCUAACGUUGACCCGUAAUCCGGGUUGCGGACAGUGUCUGGUGGGUAGUUUGACUGGGGCGGUCUCCUCCUAAAGAGUAACGGAGGAGCACGAAGGUUGGCUAAUCCUGGUCGGACAUCAGGAGGUUAGUGCAAUGGCAUAAGCCAGCUUGACUGCGAGCGUGACGGCGCGAGCAGGUGCGAAAGCAGGUCAUAGUGAUCCGGUGGUUCUGAAUGGAAGGGCCAUCGCUCAACGGAUAAAAGGUACUCCGGGGAUAACAGGCUGAUACCGCCCAAGAGUUCAUAUCGACGGCGGUGUUUGGCACCUCGAUGUCGGCUCAUCACAUCCUGGGGCUGAAGUAGGUCCCAAGGGUAUGGCUGUUCGCCAUUUAAAGUGGUACGCGAGCUGGGUUUAGAACGUCGUGAGACAGUUCGGUCCCUAUCUGCCGUGGGCGCUGGAGAACUGAGGGGGGCUGCUCCUAGUACGAGAGGACCGGAGUGGACGCAUCACUGGUGUUCGGGUUGUCAUGCCAAUGGCACUGCCCGGUAGCUAAAUGCGGAAGAGAUAAGUGCUGAAAGCAUCUAAGCACGAAACUUGCCCCGAGAUGAGUUCUCCCUGACUCCUUGAGAGUCCUGAAGGAACGUUGAAGACGACGACGUUGAUAGGCCGGGUGUGUAAGCGCAGCGAUGCGUUGAGCUAACCGGUACUAAUGAACCGUGAGGCUUAACCUU
RNAcentral lists this ribosomal RNA (2901 nucleotides) under human gut metagenome. RNAcentral's name for it is "bacterial LSU rRNA". It matches the Rfam family "Bacterial large subunit ribosomal RNA". The record is from RNAcentral.